GUAGGUGGCAAGCGUUGUCCGGAAUUAUUGGGCGUAAAGCGCGCGCAGGCGGUUCUUUAAGUCUGAUGUGAAAGCCCACGGGCUCAAACGUGGAGGGUCAUUGGAAACUGGAGAACUUGAGUACAGAAGAGGAAAGCGGAAUUCCACGUGUAGCGGUGAAAUGCGUAGAGAUGUGGAGGAACACCAGUGGCGAAGGCGGCUUUCUGGUCUGUAACUGACGCUGAGGCGCGAAAGCGUGGGGAGCAAACAGGAUUAGAUACCCUGGUAGUCCACGCCGUAAACGAUGAGUGCUAAGUGUUAGGGGGUUUCCGCCCCUUAGUGCUGCGGCUAACGCAUUAAGCACUCCGCCUGGGGAGUACGGCCGCAAAGGCUG
This 373-nucleotide ribosomal RNA is filed under the name uncultured organism. RNAcentral's name for it is "partial 16S ribosomal RNA". It matches the Rfam family "Bacterial small subunit ribosomal RNA", at positions 527 to 896 of the family's 1533-position model. The record is from RNAcentral.